GACGAACGCUGGCGGCGUGCUUAACACAUGCAAGUCGAACGGAAAGGCCCUGCUUUUGUGGGGUGCUCGAGUGGCGAACGGGUGAGUAACACGGGAGUAACCUGCCCUUGACUUUGGGAUAACUUCAGGAAACUGGGGCUAAUACCGGAUAGGAGCUCCUGCUGCAGGGUGGGGGUUGGAAAGUUUCGGCGGUUGGGGAUGGACUCGCGGCUUAUCAGCUUGUUGGUGGGGUAGUGGCUUACCAAGGCUUUGACGGGUAGCCGGCCUGAGAGGGUGACCGGCCACAUUGGGACUGAGAUACGGCCCAGACUCCUACGGGCGGCAGCAGUGGGGAAUAUUGCACAAUGGGCGGAAGCCUGAUGCAGCAACGCCGCGUGCGGGAUGACGGCCUUCGGGUUGUAAACCGCUUUCGCCUGUGACGAAGCGUGAGUGACGGUAAUGGGUAAAGAAGCACCGGCUAACUACGUG
RNAcentral lists this ribosomal RNA (468 nucleotides) under uncultured bacterium. Its description in RNAcentral is "partial 16S ribosomal RNA". It matches the Rfam family "Bacterial small subunit ribosomal RNA", at positions 28 to 507 of the family's 1533-position model. The record is from RNAcentral.